GAUGAACGCUAGCUACAGGCUUAACACAUGCAAGUCGAGGGGAAACGACAUCGAAAGCUUGCUUUUGAUGGGCGUCGACCGGCGCACGGGUGAGUAACGCGUAUCCAACCUGCCCAUCACUUGGUGAUAACCUUGCGAAAGUAAGACUAAUACCCAAUGAUAUCUCUAGAAGACAUCUGAAAGAGAUUAAAGAUUUAUCGGUGAUGGAUGGGGAUGCGUCUGAUUAGCUUGUUGGCGGGGUAACGGCCCACCAAGGCAACGAUCAGUAGGGGUUCUGAGAGGAAGGUCCCCCACAUUGGAACUGAGACACGGUCCAAACUCCUACGGGAGGGAGCAGUGAGGAAUAUUGGUCAAUGGGAGAGAGCCUGAACCAGCCAAGUAGCGUGCAGGAAGACGGCCCUAGGGGUUGUAAACUGCUGUUAGAAGGGAAUAAAGUGAGAGUCGUGACUCUUUUUGUAUGUACCUUAUGAAUAAGGACCGGCUAAUUCCGUG
RNAcentral lists this ribosomal RNA (492 nucleotides) under uncultured bacterium. RNAcentral describes it as "partial 16S ribosomal RNA". It matches the Rfam family "Bacterial small subunit ribosomal RNA", at positions 28 to 507 of the family's 1533-position model. The record is from RNAcentral.